Molecule: regulatory RNA element, 117 nt
Organism: Eubacterium sp. CAG:274
Lineage: Bacteria; Bacillati; Bacillota; Clostridia; Eubacteriales; Eubacteriaceae
Rfam family: FMN riboswitch aptamer (RFN element)
About the family: The RFN element is a highly conserved domain that is found frequently in the 5'-untranslated regions of prokaryotic mRNAs that encode for flavin mononucleotide (FMN) biosynthesis and transport proteins.
Source: Rfam
UAUUUUCUUCAGGGAUUGGUGUAAUUCCAUACCGGUGGUAAAGCCCACGAGCCGUAAAAGGCAUGAUUCGGUGUAAUUCCGAAGCCGACAGUAAAGUCUGGAUGAAAGAAGAUUUUU